This 460-nucleotide ribosomal RNA is filed under the name uncultured bacterium. RNAcentral describes it as "partial 16S ribosomal RNA". It matches the Rfam family "Bacterial small subunit ribosomal RNA", at positions 338 to 795 of the family's 1533-position model. The record is from RNAcentral.
CCUACGGGAGGCAGCAGUGAGGAAUAUUGGUCAAUGGACGCAAGUCUGAACCAGCCAUGCCGCGUGCAGGAAGACGGCUCUAUGAGUUGUAAACUGCUUUUGUACGAGGGUAAACGCAGAUACGCGUAUCUGUCUGAAAGUAUCGUACGAAUAAGGAUCGGCUAACUCCGUGCCAGCAGCCGCGGUAAUACGGAGGAUUCAAGCGUUAUCCGGAUUUAUUGGGUUUAAAGGGUGCGUAGGCGGUCGGAUAAGUUAGAGGUGAAAUGCCGAGGCUCAACUUCGGAACUGCCGCUGGUACUGUUCGGCUAGAGAGUGGUUGCGGUAGGCGGAAUGUAUGGUGUAGCGGUGAAAUGCUUAGAGAUCAUACAGAACACCGAUUGCGAAGGCAGCUUACCAUGCUACUUCUGACGUUGAGGCACGAAGGCGUGGGGAGCGAACAGGAUUAGAUACCCGAGUAGUC